This 473-nucleotide ribosomal RNA is filed under the name Exiguobacterium sp. RKBH-B80. RNAcentral's name for it is "bacterial SSU rRNA". It matches the Rfam family "Bacterial small subunit ribosomal RNA", at positions 1 to 458 of the family's 1533-position model. The record is from RNAcentral. Lineage: Bacteria; Bacillati; Bacillota; Bacilli; Caryophanales.
UAGAGUUUGAUCCUGGCUCAGGACGAACGCUGGCGGCGUGCCUAAUACAUGCAAGUCGAGCGCAGGAAACCGUCUGAACCCUUCGGGGGGACGACGGCGGAAUGAGCGGCGGACGGGUGAGUAACACGUAAAGAACCUGCCCAUAGGUCUGGGAUAACCACGAGAAAUCGGGGCUAAUACCGGAUGUGUCAUCGGACCGCAUGGUCCGUUGAUGAAAGGCGCUUCGGCGUCGCCCAUGGAUGGCUUUGCGGUGCAUUAGCUAGUUGGUGGGGUAACGGCCCACCAAGGCGACGAUGCAUAGCCGACCUGAGAGGGUGAUCGGCCACACUGGGACUGAGACACGGCCCAGACUCCUACGGGAGGCAGCAGUAGGGAAUCUUCCACAAUGGACGAAAGUCUGAUGGAGCAACGCCGCGUGAACGAUGAAGGCUUUCGGGUCGUAAAGUUCUGUUGUAAGGGAAGAACAAGUGCCG